CGAGAAGUUGAAAGAUCUCAUCUAGAGAAUGAAAAGUGAAAGUAUUAGGGCGUAAGCUGAUGACAUCAGACCCGUAUUGAAACACGGACCAAGGAGACUUUGAGUAUAGCGAGGCGAAGGAUGUGAAGUCCCCACCCGCGAGAAAUCUACAAGUUAUACUGAUAGGACCCGAAAGGCAGUGAACUAUACCUGCUCUGCUUGACGCCACGGCAAACCGUGGUUGAGGAGCUAAGUCGUAUUGAUGUUCAACUCAUUGACAGGAAGUGGGUAUAGGGGCGAAAGACCAAUCGAACUGCCUGGUAGCUGGUUCCGGCCGAAAUGUCUCUCAGGACAGCGGUGUCUGCGAAUAGGAAGAUGCGGUAGAGAGGAUGUCGACCUUGUCAACAAACUCCGAAUGCGUCAUUGUGUUGCGAUUGCAUCCAACAUGAUCAUCUAUAAGACACUAGUGGGCGCCUUGUGGUAAGCAUGCGGCGCAAAAAGGGAUGAACCUAGCAGUGGGGUAAGGUGCCUAAAGGAAAACAAAGAGAAAAAGCGUUUGGCAGAUUAGGACAGUGGGGCGGUGGCCAUGGAGGUCGGCAUCCGCUAAGAAACGUGUUACAACGUACCCACCGAAUCUGCGAAUGCUGAAAAUGGAUGGCGCUUAUUUCCAUACCGAGCCCCACAUGGUACAGCCACGUAGGCCGGCACGUGUGCAUCUGAGAAGACCCGCCGUGAGGUGUGUUGGAGAUGUUCACGGAGCAGAUCUUGGAAGUAGUAGCAUCAUUUGUAUGUGCCAAUGGAGGCGGGUUUGUCCUUUUAAUAGAAGGAAGUGAUACGAGCCUAGUAAAAGGGAAUAUAGUAGAUAUUCUAUAUAGAUGUACCUAUGUGGCGACACGACAGCGACCCCAACGACGUGUGCCGGUGAGAAUUUUCCGGGACACCCAGAUCUUAUGAGCGUCACGCUGAGACUAAGAACGAGUUGGGCGGUGAAAAUGAAGGAACAUCCUCGUACCGAACCGCAACAGGACUCCUAGGUGAGAAGCCUAAGGCAUAAUUGUAAUGUGAGCAAGGGAAAUCGGCAAAAUGGAUGAAAAACCUCGGGAUAAUCAUUGGCUCUAGCAUGCUAGAACUGGGCUUACAAGGGGAAUCUGACUGUUUAAUAAAAACAUAGCUUUGUGUGUACGCAAAGUGAAUUCUGCCCAGUGCUUGGGACGUUAAGGAAGUAAUUUUAAGUACGCACCUGUAAACGGCGGGAGUAACUAUGACUCUCUUAAGGUAGCCAAAUGCCUCGUCGCCUAAUUAGCGACGCGCAUGAAUGGAGCAACGAGAUUCCCACUGUCCCUGCUCACAGAUUUGCGAACCUACAGCCAAGGGAACGGGCUUGGGACAUGCAGCGGGGAAAGAAGACCCUGUUGAGCUUGACUCUAGCCAAGCACAGGCCUCUGUGACUAUAUCGUAGCGAGGUGGGAGAAAUGUGUGAGACCACUGACAUAGUCGGCGGGGGCACUCGCAAAGCUUGGUGGGGAGUUUGGCUGGGGCGGCACGACUACUAAAACAUAACGUAGACGUCCAAAGGUAGCUCCGAAGGGGAUGAAACACUUCCAAAGAUAAAAGGCCAAACCUGCUUUAUUAUUAAAGAAAUUAAUAAUUAUGGAACAGGGGCUUGAAAUUCUCUAUAAACUAACAUAAAGGUGACGAAAAUUUACACAGGAAAUUGGGUUGGGGCGGCGAACUUCAUUCAACCCCCUUUUUAAUUUUCAAGUCGGUCCUCCGACAGGGGAAAAUUACCCCAGGGGGUUUUUUCCAACAAAGGGAAAUGCUGGGUUAAAGUCUGAAAAGUUUUUUCCCAG
Enterocytozoon bieneusi H348 is the source of this 1829-nucleotide ribosomal RNA. It matches the Rfam family "Eukaryotic large subunit ribosomal RNA", at positions 358 to 2997 of the family's 3401-position model. Lineage: Eukaryota; Fungi; Microsporidia; Enterocytozoonidae. The record is from Rfam.